GAUGAAGAACGCAGCGAAAUGCGAUAAGUAAUGUGAAUUGCAGAAUUCAGUGAAUCAUCGAAUCUUUGAACGCACAUUGCGCCCCUUGGUAUUCCGAGGGGCAUGCCUGUUUGAGCGUCAUUAUAACCCCUCAAGCUCAGCUUGGUGUUGGGGCCUGCUGCACUGGCAGCCCUUAAAAUCAGUGGCGGCGCCAUCUGGCUCUAAGCGUAGUAAUUCUUCUCGCUAUGGAGUCCUGGUGGAUGCUUGCCAUCAACCCCCAAUUUUUCUAUGGUUGACCUCGGAUCAGGUAGGGAUACCCGCUGAACUUAAGCAUAUCAAUAAGCGGAGGA
RNAcentral lists this unclassified non-coding RNA (329 nucleotides) under soil metagenome. Its description in RNAcentral is "partial contains 5.8S ribosomal RNA, internal transcribed spacer 2, and large subunit ribosomal RNA". The stretch from base 1 to 120 matches the Rfam family "5.8S ribosomal RNA", at positions 35 to 154 of the family's 154-position model. The record is from RNAcentral.